This 464-nucleotide ribosomal RNA is filed under the name uncultured Klebsiella sp. RNAcentral's name for it is "bacterial SSU rRNA". It matches the Rfam family "Bacterial small subunit ribosomal RNA", at positions 338 to 795 of the family's 1533-position model. The record is from RNAcentral. Lineage: Bacteria; Pseudomonadati; Pseudomonadota; Gammaproteobacteria; Enterobacterales; Enterobacteriaceae.
CCUACGGGAGGCUGCAGUGGGGAAUAUUGCACAAUGGGCGCAAGCCUGAUGCAGCCAUGCCGCGUGUGUGAAGAAGGCCUUCGGGUUGUAAAGCACUUUCAGCGGGGAGGAAGGCGGUGAGGUUAAUAACCUCAUCGAUUGACGUUACCCGCAGAAGAAGCACCGGCUAACUCCGUGCUAGCAGCCGCGGUAAUACGGAGGGUGCAAGCGUUAAUCGGAAUUACUGGGCGUAAAGCGCACGCAGGCGGUCUGUCAAGUCGGAUGUGAAAUCCCCGGGCUCAACCUGGGGACUGCAUUCGAAACUGGCAGGCUAGAGUCUUGUAGAGGGGGGUAGAAUUCCAGGUGUAGCGGUGAAAUGCGUAGAGAUCUGGAGGAAUACCGGUGGCGAAGGCGGCCCCCUGGACAAAGACUGACGCUCAGGUGCGAAAGCGUGGGGAGCAAACAGGAUUAGAUACCCUUGUGUC